AUUGGAGCUUUAUAAGAGUCAGCAAAAUUCUCACUCGCCUAAGUUAUCUUGGUCAGCUCAUCUUUUUGCGGGUAAUUUGCAAUUGGCAUUGUCAUCAUUUGUGGAAUUUCGAUAUUUGGUUCGUCAGAAAGAUCGUCCCCCAUGGCAUGACUUGGAGCCUUUAGCAUCAGAUUCAUUGCAACAUUUUGAUUUAUCCACUCGACGGGGUCGAGUUUUUCUCCCACCCCGGGAAAGUUGAUGCGGACAUCCAUUUACUAUUUAUUUUCUUCCAUUUACUAUUUAUUUUCUAUUUGGACUAUUAGUUAUAUUUUAUUUGGAUUAUUAUUUAUAUUUCUAUUAUUGAGCUUGUUUAGCGGGUUUGGCCCAAGCCCUUCUCUUUAGGGUUUUUGUUUUGUUAUUUAUUUCUGUUUUGUUGCGUAUUUCAGACAGUUGAUGAAUUGAUGAAUUAAAGAAUAGAAUGCUUGGGUUGUUGCCUAUGGCUUCCUCCUUCUCCCCUUUCCCCUGAUUUCUACUUCUUCU
RNAcentral lists this long non-coding RNA (519 nucleotides) under Olea europaea subsp. europaea. Lineage: Eukaryota; Viridiplantae; Streptophyta; Magnoliopsida; Lamiales; Oleaceae. The record is from RNAcentral.